Molecule: ribosomal RNA, 413 nt
Filed under: uncultured microorganism
Description: bacterial SSU rRNA
Rfam family: Archaeal small subunit ribosomal RNA
Source: RNAcentral
CAGCAGCCGCGGUAAUACCGGCGGCCCGAGUGGCGGUCACUAUUAUUGGGCUUAAAGCGUCCGUAGCCGGGUUGGGAAGUCCUCCGGGAAAUCUGGCCGCUUAACGGUCAGAAUGCCGGAGGAUACUCCCAGCCUAGGGAGCGGGAGAGGCCGAGGGUAUUCCCGGAGUAGGGGGGAAAUCCUAUAAUCCCGGGAGGACCACCUGUGGCGAAGGCGCUCGGCUGGAACGCGUCCGACGGUGAGGGACGAAGGCCAGGGGAGCAAACCGGAUUAGAUACCCGGGUAGUCCUGGCUGUAAACGAUGCGGACUUUGUGUCGGACAAGCUAUGAGCUUGUCCGGUGCCGGAGGGAAACCGUUAAGUCCGCCGCCUGGGGAGUACGGCCGCAAGGCUGAAACUUAAAGGAAUGGCGGG